UACAGAGGGUGCGAGUGUUGUCCGGAAUCACUGGGCGUAAAGGGCGCGUAGGCGGUUGCCUAAGCGUGUGGUGAAAGCCCGGGGCUCAACCCCGGGUCGGCCAUGCGAACUGGGCGACUGGAGCCGAUCAGAGGCAGGCGGAAUUCCGGGUGUAGCGGUGGAAUGCGUAGAGAUCCGGAAGAACACCGGUGGCGAAGGCGGCCUGCUGGGAUCUUGCUGACGCCGAGGCGCGACAGCGUGGGGAGCAAACAGG
Molecule: ribosomal RNA, 253 nt
Filed under: uncultured bacterium
Lineage: Bacteria
Description: partial 16S ribosomal RNA
Rfam family: Bacterial small subunit ribosomal RNA
Source: RNAcentral